RNAcentral lists this Y RNA (111 nucleotides) under Carlito syrichta (Philippine tarsier). RNAcentral describes it as "Y RNA (ENSTSYG00000029026.1)". It matches the Rfam family "Y RNA". From Rfam's summary of the family: Y RNAs are components of the Ro ribonucleoprotein particle (Ro RNP), in association with Ro60 and La proteins. The Y RNAs and Ro60 and La proteins are well conserved, but the function of the Ro RNP is not known. In humans the RNA component can be one of four small RNAs -- hY1, hY3, hY4 and hY5. The record is from Rfam by way of RNAcentral. Lineage: Eukaryota; Metazoa; Chordata; Mammalia; Primates; Tarsiidae.
AGCUGGUCCCAAGGUAGUGAGUUAUUUCAAUUGAUUGUGCCGUCAGUUACAGAUUGAACUCCUUGUUCUACUCUUUCCCCUCUUCUCACUACUGUACUUGAUUAGUCUAAA